RNAcentral lists this small RNA (229 nucleotides) under Archaeoglobus fulgidus. The stretch from base 1 to 150 matches the Rfam family "Archaeal large subunit ribosomal RNA", at positions 2838 to 2987 of the family's 2987-position model. Lineage: Archaea; Methanobacteriati; Methanobacteriota; Archaeoglobi; Archaeoglobales; Archaeoglobaceae. The record is from RNAcentral.
CUGAAAGCAUCUAAGCCUGAAACCGCCCCCGAAAAGAGCCGCCCAUUAAGGGCUCCCGUAAAAGACGGGGUUGAUAGGACCGGGGUGUAAGCGGCGAGCUUCGGCGAGCCGUUCAGCCCGCGGUCACUAAUCGCCCGCGCCGAUUGGGCCGGUCUCAGGCAUAGUCUGGGACCGGCUCUACCGGCGAAUAUCCCGGCCGGUGGAUGGCUCGGCUCGGGCGCCGACGAAG